CCUACGGGUGGCUGCAGUGGGGAAUAUUGGUCAAUGGGCGCAAGCCUGAACCAGCAACGCCGCGUGAAGGAUGAAUGCUUUCCGGGUGUAAACUUCUUUUUUCACGGAAGUGUAGAAGACGGUACCUGACGAAUAAGCCACAGUUAACUACGUGCCAGCAGCCGCGGUCAUACGUAGGUGCCAAGCGUUAUCCGGAUUUACUGGGUGUAAAGGGCGUGUAGCCGGGUUGACAAGUCAGAUGUGAAAUCCUGCGGCUUAACCGUAGAAUUGCAUUUGAAACUGUUGAUCUUGAGUAUUGGAGAGGUAGACGGAAUUCGUAGUGUAGCGGUGAAAUGCUUAGAUAUUAGGAGGAACACCAGUGGCGAAGGCGGUCUGCUGGACAGCAACUGACGGUGAGGCGCGAAAGUGUGGGGAGCAAACAGGAUUAGAUACCCUUGUAGUC
Molecule: ribosomal RNA, 442 nt
Filed under: uncultured bacterium
Lineage: Bacteria
Description: partial 16S ribosomal RNA
Rfam family: Bacterial small subunit ribosomal RNA
Source: RNAcentral